RNAcentral lists this long non-coding RNA (510 nucleotides) under Linum usitatissimum (flax). RNAcentral describes it as "long non-coding RNA (LUSI_LNC001751)". The record is from RNAcentral. Lineage: Eukaryota; Viridiplantae; Streptophyta; Magnoliopsida; Malpighiales; Linaceae.
GUUAUGGCGAUUAUAGUUAGGCGGAUUUCUUUUGUUGAUACUUUCAUUUUGAUGUUGUUUGUAUAGCAUUUUUAUGUGCUUGAUUAAGAACAUAUCUUCGAUGUAUAUGUUCCUCUCCUCUGCCUGGAGAUUUUCUUCUGCUUCAAUAUACAUCUAUUUCCAGCAUUUAUGGAUUCGUAUAGGACACGGUCUCUACUUCUCACGGUCCGAUUUAACUUCUGCGCAAUAUUGAUGCAGUCUAAUUUUACUUUGUUCACUACGUCUCCACUUCUCACGGUCCGAUUUAACAUCUGCGCAAUAUUGAUGCAGUCCAAUUUUACUUUGUUCACUAAGUCUCUACUCUACUUCUCACGGUCCGAUUUAACUAACGUGUGUGUUUAAUCGAACCACUGCAUAUCAUCAAGCGUCAGCAUCGACAAGUCUUUCAAGGUAUAAAAGACAAGUAUAAUGUACGUAUUUUUAUUGUAUUUAUAAAAUGAAGAGCAAAAUCAAUAAGUUAGUUGUUGUCCA